Molecule: long non-coding RNA, 328 nt
Filed under: Ananas comosus (pineapple)
Lineage: Eukaryota; Viridiplantae; Streptophyta; Magnoliopsida; Poales; Bromeliaceae
Description: long non-coding RNA (ACOM_LNC033707)
Source: RNAcentral
GUGUGAGGACAUGAGUUUAAGGGCCCGUUCGGCCUGAUUUUCUGAAAAAGUGAUUUUUGUUUGGAAAAGUGAUUUUGGUUAAAAGCUGUAGAACGUUUGGCUGAGUUUAGAUAAAAGUGAUUUUUCUGAAAUGAUUUUGAAAAACUGCUUGGCGAAAUUUUUUUUAUGUUUACAUAAAUUAAUAUAUUUUAUUAAAUUUUAUUUUAAAAUAAUUUAAAAUCUAAAUUUCAAUUUCAAUUAAAAUUAAAAUUUUUAAAUUUCAAAAUUUUUUAAAAUUUAAAAUAUAAAAUUUAAAUUUAAAAAAUAAUUUAAAAUUUAAAAAAAAAAU